RNAcentral lists this long non-coding RNA (219 nucleotides) under Gallus gallus (chicken). Lineage: Eukaryota; Metazoa; Chordata; Aves; Galliformes; Phasianidae. The record is from RNAcentral.
UCACCUUCCACACUUCUCAGCCGUGCCAGCUCUGCUUCGCUGUCUUUCAUCUUCAGCAGCAAAGUCCUGUGCUCCUUCUCCAUCCCUGCCAGCAGCCUCUGCAGUUCAUCCACCUGCAGCUCCUUCUCCACCACGCUCCUCUCUGCUCUCCGCAGGGCACAGCUUGUCUGCUCUGCCUCCUCCCGGUACCGCGACACCGUCCUCUCGAGGUCCUUCUUC